ACACUGUACAAUGGAUUUCUCGGCUCCCACAUC
RNAcentral lists this ribosomal RNA (33 nucleotides) under Chamaedoris auriculata. RNAcentral describes it as "5.8S ribosomal RNA". Lineage: Eukaryota; Viridiplantae; Chlorophyta; Ulvophyceae; Cladophorales; Boodleaceae. The record is from RNAcentral.